CCCUUAGAUGUCCUGGGCCGCACGCGCGCUACACUGAGUGUCUGAGAUACGAGUCUGCCUGGUCCGGCAAGGUCUAGGUCAUCGCUAAAAGACACAUCAUGCUUGGGAUAGAUUAUUGCAAAUAUUAAUCUUGAACGAGGAAUUCCUAGUAAGCGCAAGUCAACAGCUUGCGUUGAUUACGUCCCUGCCCUUUGUACACACCGCCCGUCGCUACUACUGAUUGGAUGUUUAAGCGAGGUUCUCGAACUGCUAGCGACUUAGCUUCGGUGAGGUCGCAGUGUGGGAAGUGAACCUAGCUUUGGUGUCUAGAGGAAGUAAAAGUCGUAACA
RNAcentral lists this ribosomal RNA (329 nucleotides) under uncultured eukaryote. Its description in RNAcentral is "partial 18S ribosomal RNA". It matches the Rfam family "Eukaryotic small subunit ribosomal RNA", at positions 1470 to 1796 of the family's 1831-position model. The record is from RNAcentral.